UAUUGACCCCACGGGAGUGCGCAUCAGGAUCGAAUUGGGAUCGCAAGGUGGCUAAAGAUUGCAGGGGCUUCACAAGCUGCACGUCUAGAUCAUGACUCCAGUUACACACAUGUGGCAUCAGUCUGCCAAAAUAACAACCUGGAUAUCAAAGAAAACAAUGAACAUGGCUGGGGAUUUGGAAUAGCUGUGACGCGCUCUCCUCAUUCCUGGUGAUGGUGGUGUCUCCAGUGCAUGGACUGGCGUUGUGUCUCAGGACCGUACUAGAAGAUUCAGGUUUCA
Molecule: long non-coding RNA, 279 nt
Organism: Pseudophryne corroboree (corroboree frog)
Lineage: Eukaryota; Metazoa; Chordata; Amphibia; Anura; Myobatrachidae
Exons: 3
Source: RefSeq, a predicted model, not a curated record